Molecule: ribosomal RNA, 907 nt
Filed under: Perilachnea hemisphaerioides
Lineage: Eukaryota; Fungi; Ascomycota; Pezizomycetes; Pezizales; Pyronemataceae
Description: partial 28S large subunit ribosomal RNA
Rfam family: Eukaryotic large subunit ribosomal RNA
Source: RNAcentral
UAUCAAUAAGCGGAGGAAAAGAAACCAACAGGGAUUGCCUCAGUAACUGCGAGUGAAGCGGCAAAAGCUCAAAUUUGAAAUCUGGCGUCUUUGGCGUCCGAGUUGUAAUUUGGAGAGGCAUCUUCGGAGAUGGCGCUGUCCUAAGUUCCUUGGAACAGGACAUCACAGAGGGUGAGAAUCCCGUGCCUGGAUGGCUGUCCAUCUCCAUGUGAAGAGUCUUCGACGAGUCGAGUUGUUUGGGAAUGCAGCUCAAAAUGGGUGGUAAAUUUCAUCUAAAGCUAAAUAUUGGCGAGAGACCGAUAGCGCACAAGUAGAGUGAUCGAAAGAUGAAAAGCACUUUGAAAAGAGAGUUAAAAAGUACGUGAAAUUGUUGAAAGGGAAGCGCUUGAGACCAGACUCAAUCUUUGGUGAUCAGCUGUGCUUCUGCGCAGUGCACUUGCUAUUGAUUGGGCCAGCAUCGGUUCCGACGGUGGGAUAAAAGGCGGAGGAAUGUAGCUUCCUUCGGGGAGUGUUAUAGCCUCCGUCACAAUGCCAUCAGUUGGGACCGAGGACCGCGCUUCGGCUAGGAUGCUGGCGUAAUGGUCUUAAGCGACCCGUCUUGAAACACGGACCAAGGAGUCUAACAUCUAUGCGAGUGUUCGGGUGGAAAACCCUUGCGCGUAAUGAAAGUGAACGGAGGUGGGAACCCGCAAGGGUGCACCAUCGACCGAUCCUGAUGUCUUCGGAAGGAUUUGAGUAAGAGCAUAGCUGUUGGGACCCGAAAGAUGGUGAACUAUGCCUGAAUAGGGUGAAGCCAGAGGAAACUCUGGUGGAGGCUCGCAGCGGUUCUGACGUGCAAAUCGAUCGUCAAAUUUGGGUAUAGGGGCGAAAGACUAAUCGAACCAUCUAGUAGCUGGUUCCUGCCGAA